RNAcentral lists this unclassified non-coding RNA (293 nucleotides) under fungal sp. RNAcentral describes it as "partial internal transcribed spacer region". The stretch from base 1 to 46 matches the Rfam family "Eukaryotic small subunit ribosomal RNA", at positions 1786 to 1831 of the family's 1831-position model. Lineage: Eukaryota; Fungi. The record is from RNAcentral.
AAGUCGUAACAAGGUUUCCGUAGGUGAACCUGCGGAAGGAUCAUUAUCGAAAAAAAGAUUAAAGAUAAACUUGACUGUUUGUCUUUAAAAUAUUCUUUUAUUCUUGUCCACUGUGUGAACUUUUUUACUAUCGGGCGGCCAAGGGUAUUUAGUUGCCCAGCCGGUCGAGACGCAGAGUUUAUUCUCUCGUCGAAUUACCCAUUUUUUUUUUUAAAAUGCCAAUGUCAAUAACAUGAAUGUGUGUGAUAUAUAUAAAUCAUUUAAAACUUUCAGUGACGGAUCUCUUGGCUCUC